Stegastes partitus (bicolor damselfish) is the source of this 1695-nucleotide RNA transcript. RefSeq lists it as uncharacterized. Lineage: Eukaryota; Metazoa; Chordata; Actinopteri; Pomacentridae. The record is from RefSeq and is a predicted model, not a curated record. The transcript has 7 exons.
CAGUUCAACAAAAUACAUCUACACAAAUAAGCUUCUUAGUGAAGCUUAGUUUGCCUAAAGAGCAAAUCAGAAUAACUUUGAACAGAAAGUGAGUAUAAAUUGACUCUACUAGUGUCUAUUUGAAGACUGUUGCAUUAUUUUACAUUACAUUUUUCAGGUGUUCCUCCUUUUCUAUUAUCUAUAUAGUACCUCUAUCUGCAUUUAACAUGCUACAUGCAUGCAAACAUGCAAAGUAGUUAACUUUUUUUUGUUGUUGUUGUCUAGAUUGGAAGCUUAUUAAAGAACCAGCUCAAGCUGCUAAAGUUUUCAAAGAGAAUCUACUAAGGGAACACGCAACUGGGAAGCCCAUUAAACUGAAGAUGGACAUUAGGGACAACGAGGAGGACAAGGAAAGGGCACUGCUCUCAUUCUAUAAACAGCACCAAGAAUGAGCAUGUCCACUUCAUUGUACCCUUGAUGGUGAUGCUGCUGUUGGGCAGGGAGUAACAAGAUACUUUCUGACAACAAUAAUUUCCAAACUCCAGUUUGGAUUCAGUCUGGAUCUUGGAGGAACAGGCCGAACACUGCUAUUUGAGGGUGAGCCUGACCAUCUCGUUCCAGCAGCAUCAGAGGUACAUAUUGAGAGCAACCUGUUCCGGGUUGCAGGAAGGAUGAUGGGCCACUCCUUUUUGCAUGAUGGCCCCUGUGUCACAGGAUUAAGUCCUGCUGUAAUUCAUGCACUGUUUAAUGGGGACCCUGAAAUGGCAACAAUUGCUGCCGAGGACUGUCGUGAUCUGCACAUCAGGAACAUCAUAAAAAUGCUUGAACUUGAAGAACUUUCUCAGGAACAGAAGGACACUGUCUCAGAGCUUUCCAUGUCGUGGGAUCUCCCAGCAGUCAUGAAAACAAAUCAGAGGUCAUUGGGAGGACCAUGUGCCAAAUUAAACAGCUGAGAAAGGGAUUGAAAGAUGUGAUGCUAUGGCCCCUGCUGACAUCUAGGCCGGAUGUUGUCCCACUUCUUUUCCCCAAAAUGGCAGAAAUGCAGUUCGUACCCCAGAUGUUCCUAGACAAAAUCACAUGGCCAGUUGAGGACAGUGAUGAUGAGGAUGAAGAAUUUGGUAUCGAGUGCAAGUGCCGCAUCACUGGUUUUCUAAGGAUGUUCAUUGAAACAGCUUCAUCAGACACACUGGCCCAGUUGCUGAAGUUCUGGGUCGGCUGGGAAAUGCUUCCUCCUGAACUCAAAGUGGAGAUUUCUGGGGGAACCUUUCCUGCGUCCUCCACGUGCUUCGAAACACUGAAGCUGCCAGCUCAUUACAAAACCUAUAGAGACUUUGAGGAAGCACUUGUUGCUGCUAUUAACAGUGCACACACUGGAUUUGGUCUUGUUUAAGUAUUUUCAGGCAGUGAUAUUGCUAUGCUUUGUUUCAUCGACCAGGUCAAUUUGACACAAGUUCAGUGUUCCAACACAUUUAAAAUAAUGUGCAGUAGUUUCAAUUAUUUUGUUCUUUUUAAAAUUUUGUUUAUUUACCAAAACGGUAUCAGUCCUGCAUUUCUAGCUUCAUCAGCAUAAACAAGUAGUUUUACUUACAACAAAAGUGCAGAUUAUUGUUUUACAUUUUUGACAACAGUAACAGUGACAAAGGGAAAGGUUUAGAAAACCUCAGUUUUCAGUGCAUUUGUGCUUGUUGUAACACACAAUAAAAGGCUUGGUUUGGC